Long non-coding RNA from Columba livia (rock pigeon), 1149 nucleotides. RefSeq lists it as uncharacterized. Lineage: Eukaryota; Metazoa; Chordata; Aves; Columbiformes; Columbidae. The transcript is spliced from 2 exons. The record is from RefSeq and is a predicted model, not a curated record.
GGUGCCUGUCACCUAGCAGCCUGGUGGGAAUGCAACAUGAGACGGGAAGAGCAAUGAAGCAGCAAAAGAAUAAAAGGUUCAAAAAGACAGGAAAAGAAACAGCUCUGAAAGAAAAACAACAAUUCCUUCACUUCCAGUUUCUGUUAACGCUCCUGCCUUUACAUGUACAGCCACUCAUCUGUUCAUUGAAUCACCAAAAGUUAUCAAUAACAAUUCUGAGCAACACCAGAUGUCACUACAAUGUCUGGGAGAGAAACUCGAAUGGCACUACCCAAGUCAGCAGCAUCCCGUGCCUCGGUACCCCGGCUCUGCACUGACCCAGCUCCACCUGGCACCACCAGCUUCCGAACUGCUGUCCCAGCCGGCAUGAAGGAUGCUCCAAAUCAAACUACCCCUUGCGUCUCACCAGGCGGCUCCUACUUCCCAGGAAAGCUGUGUGCUUUCUAAUACCCCGUCUUUACAUCUUAUAUAUAUUCCUCUCUGCUCUUGAACACACUCUGCAAUGAACUCAUGGAUUUAAACAAAUUCUGACUUUGUAAAUGCAACUUGCAUUGCUUUCAUCUAAAUUAUAAGACAAGUUUACUCUCUCCUACUACUUUACUCAGCACAUGCUAUGUUCAUAUAAGAAGGGGCUCAAAUCACUCUUAAUACCUGAAUAUGCACAUGAAACUUUGCAACACAUCAGUUACAUUAGGAAUUUAGAAAUACGAGAUUUUGGUGAAGCACAAGAAAUUUCUACUGGAUCGUCAAAAGCUUCCUGUGGAAAUGCUGACAGCUGUACUAAAAACAACUGGAAGCCAGUUAAAAACAAACUGCAUAAAAAACAUUUAUUAACAUGUUAUUGAGGACCAUUCUGCCAGCAGGAGAGUACUCUAGACAACUAAAUAAAUGUCUAUUUCCCACUUCUCUGAUUAAGAGGAUACCAGGGAAGUUACACAGGGGAUAUGGCUGUUUGCUUUGAGGUGGAAGCCCUCUGCUGGUUAACAUAAACUAAUUAAAGCACUAAUCUGAAUGUUUUUGUAGAUAACAGAACCACAAAGAACAAGAAAGGAGAGAGUGGCUGAUAAAGCAGCAGAGAAGAAUCGUCAGUAGUCUCAGAAAUCCUCAUUCUUCAUCUUAUUUACCGUGCCAAUAAAUGCAAAAGGUGCU